AGGUCACAUAUCGCACCGUGUUUCUAUGUCUGUGAUGCGGAGUGUCUGAGAGGGUUCAUUGAGUCUCUGCUGAGAGUGGCAUCCCACAGAACUGCCCUCAUCUGCCAAGCUCUCGCUCUGGAAGGCUCGCAAAACUCCCACUAGUGAGAUUCAGCAUUCUUACUGAGGAUGGCUUGUUUCGAGGCUGAGGUCAGUAUGCACUGUUAGUUAUUGUUUCCGGUCCACCUGAAGGCUGUGAUCUCUGAGCUUGGGCCCAGGGAUGACAUGGAAACACAACCUGCUGAUCUCUGAACACAAGGCCGAGCAGUGAGCUAAAUCAGGGACGUGGAAGGGUGAAAGCAGGCCAUGUCGCGGGUUCCCACACC
Molecule: long non-coding RNA, 365 nt
Organism: Puntigrus tetrazona (Sumatra barb)
Lineage: Eukaryota; Metazoa; Chordata; Actinopteri; Cypriniformes; Cyprinidae
Exons: 4
Source: RefSeq, a predicted model, not a curated record